GCGAGUUUGAUCAUGGCUCAGAACGAACGCUGGCGGCGCGCCUAACACAUGCAAGUCGAACGCUCCGGGUUUCGGCCCGGGGAGUGGCGGACGGGUGAGUAACGCGUGGGAACCUGCCCAAGGGUUCGGGACAACCGCGGGAAACCGCGGCUAACACCGGAUACGGCCGAGAGGCGAAAGACUUGUCGCCCUUGGAGGGGCCCGCGUCCGAUUAGCUAGUUGGUGGGGUAACGGCCUACCAAGGCUUCGAUGGGUAGCUGGUCUGGGAGGACGAUCAGCCACACUGGGACUGAGACACGGCCCAGACUCCUACGGGAGGCAGCAGUGGGGAAUCUUGCGCAAUGCGCGAAAGCGUGACGCAGCAACGCCGCGUGCGGGAAGACGGCCUUCGGGUUGUAAACCGCUUUCAGUUGGGACGAAGCUUCGAUCGUUAAUAGCGGUUUGAAGUGACGGUACCUUCACAAGAAGCCCCGGCUAACUACGUGCCAGCAGCCGCGGAA
RNAcentral lists this ribosomal RNA (500 nucleotides) under uncultured bacterium. Its description in RNAcentral is "bacterial SSU rRNA". It matches the Rfam family "Bacterial small subunit ribosomal RNA", at positions 9 to 522 of the family's 1533-position model. The record is from RNAcentral.